RNAcentral lists this ribosomal RNA (330 nucleotides) under uncultured eukaryote. RNAcentral describes it as "partial 18S ribosomal RNA". It matches the Rfam family "Eukaryotic small subunit ribosomal RNA", at positions 1470 to 1796 of the family's 1831-position model. The record is from RNAcentral.
CCCUUAGAUGUCCGGGGCUGCACGCGCGCUACACUGUAGAAAGCAGCGUGCUUUAAAACCUUUCCUGAAAAGGAUGGGUAACCCCAGCAAAGUUCUACGUGCUUGGGAUAGAGAUUUGCAAUUUUCUCUCUUGAACGAGGAAUUCCCAGUAAGUGCGAGUCAUCAGCUCGCGUUGAUUACGUCCCUGCCCUUUGUACACACCGCCCGUCGCUACUACCGAUUGGGAAAAUUUCAGAAAUCCCAGGAUCUGCGAUUGUUCGGCUUCACGGCCUUACUUUUACGGAGAAUGGGCUUAAUGAUAUUUUUCUAGAGGAAGUAAAAGUCGUANCA